Molecule: ribosomal RNA, 322 nt
Filed under: uncultured Cercozoa
Lineage: Eukaryota; Cercozoa
Description: SSU rRNA
Rfam family: Eukaryotic small subunit ribosomal RNA (bases 112-322)
Source: RNAcentral
GAUUUCUGGCUUGAAACACUUAGCCGGCCACGGUUUCGUGUGUUAGUGCUUGGUGUUCUGGCCAUCCUUCCAAUUGCUAUUCAUCUUUCUUCAUUGAUGGGUGAGUGGUAUUGGAUCUUUUACUUUGAAAAAAUUAGAGUGUUUCAAGCAGGCUUAAUGCUAUGAAUACAUUAGCAUGGAAUAAUAAUUUAGGACUUCGGUUCUAUUUUGUUGGUUUCUAGGACUGAAGUAAUGAUUGAUAGGGAUAGUUGGGGGUGCUAGUAUUCAGCGGCCAGAGGUGAAAUUCUCGGAUUCGCUGAAGACUAACUUAUGCGAAAGCAUU